CACACACACACACAAGCUUCCUCACUAGCAGACAGACACAGACACACACACACACCUGAGCAUAUCAAGCCUACCUGUUGCUGGGGAUCAGACAGCCAUCUUCUUGCCUUUCCAGCAGCAGCAUGGUCUGCUGCUUAACGGCGAGGGCAGGGCUUAUCGCUAUAUUGCAUGUAAAAAAACACCAUAUAUAGACUCUAGAGUGUCUACUUUCAUAAAUGGUGGCAUUUAUGGGGUAUUUAAAAAGUCAAACUGCUAUAAAAACCCAAAAUCAGAAAUAGACCUAUAAAAUCAUCUAUCAAAACUCUAGUUGUAAAAAGUGAAAUAGUCAGGUCUCCUAUAAGCCGCUGUAGCUUCACAGGAUAGUUGCAAAUACCUACAUUUGGGUCAUUGUUUUAUUCAGAACGUAGUAGUUGUAAAGAAUUGUGGGUUUUGUACAGCAGUGGCUAACAUUGGGUUAGGAAAUACACAUUUAAAAACAAAAAUAACCUUGUUAUAGAUGUGCAUAUAGAAAAAAUUUUUACAUUUAGCAGAGAUUGGCAGAUAUAUGUAAAAUUGUCCAUGCA
Molecule: non-coding RNA, 563 nt
Organism: Pelobates cultripes (western spadefoot toad)
Lineage: Eukaryota; Metazoa; Chordata; Amphibia; Anura; Pelobatidae
Source: the annotation of a GenBank genome assembly